GUCGGUCAGCAGUUUGCUCUUCUUUUGACUUGAUGGCCAAGUUAAGCAAACAGCACACACACACACACACACACACACACAAAGACAAACAUGAGCCGACUGCCGUGUCCAAUUUGCAUGGCUAUUGUGUACGAGCUGGCGCUGCUGCUGCUGCCGCUGCUGCUGCUGCUGCUGCUGCGCUGCUGCGCUGCUGCUGCUGCUGCUGCUGCUGCUGCUGCUGCUGACCAAC
Molecule: small RNA, 229 nt
Filed under: Drosophila guanche
Lineage: Eukaryota; Metazoa; Arthropoda; Insecta; Diptera; Drosophilidae
Source: RNAcentral